This 287-nucleotide unclassified non-coding RNA is filed under the name uncultured fungus. Its description in RNAcentral is "partial contains small subunit ribosomal RNA, internal transcribed spacer 1, and 5.8S ribosomal RNA". The stretch from base 1 to 73 matches the Rfam family "Eukaryotic small subunit ribosomal RNA", at positions 1759 to 1831 of the family's 1831-position model. Lineage: Eukaryota; Fungi. The record is from RNAcentral.
ACAAACUUGGUCAUUUAGAGGAAGUAAAAGUCGUAACAAGGUUUCCGUAGGUGAACCUGCGGAAGGAUCAUUAUUGAUUUUUUAAAAGAUGUGCUGGCACUUUGUGCAUGUGCACUCUUAACAAAAAACCAAUAUCCACCUGUGCACCUUUUGUAAGCUUAAAGGUUUCUUUUUGCUUAUGUUCUUUUUCACAAACCAUCAUUGAUUUAUUUGAAUGUAAUAUUGAAAUAACCAAUACAACUUUCAACAAUGGAUCUCUUGGUUCUCGCAUCGAUGAAGAACGCAGC